Molecule: ribosomal RNA, 207 nt
Filed under: uncultured bacterium
Lineage: Bacteria
Description: partial 16S ribosomal RNA
Rfam family: Bacterial small subunit ribosomal RNA
Source: RNAcentral
CGCGUAGGCGGACCCUCAAGUCGGGUGUGAAACCUGGCGGCUUAACUGCCAGCCUGCACUCGAUACUGUCGGUCUUGAGUACAGUAGAGGAAAGCGGAAUUCCAGGUGUAGCGGUGAAAUGCGUAGAUAUCUGGAAGAACACCAGUAGCGAAGGCGGCUUUCUGGGCUGAUACUGACGCUGAAGCGCGAAGGCUUGGGUAGCAAACA